CACAGACAAACACACACAUGCAGACACACACAGACAAACAUGCAGACACACACAGAGACAGAAGCAAACACACAGACUCAUACAUAUAAACACACACACACAAGCAAACACACAGAUGCAGACACACAGAUGCAUGUACGCAGACACAGACACAAGGAGACACACAGAUACAGACACAUGCACACAGAUACACAGACACACAUGCAGACGCACACACAGAGACACAAACAGACACAGACACAUAGACACACCUGCAGACACACACACAGAGACACAAGCAGGCAUACAGACACAGACAUAUAAACACACACAGACACACACAUGCAGACACGAGCACACAGAGACAAGCAAACACACAGACAAACACAUACACAAGCAGACACACAGACAAACAUGCAGACACACACAGAGAGACACAAGCAAACACACGACACAGGCAUAUAAAUGCACACAGAUACAAGCAAACACACAGAUGCAGACACACAGACAGACUCAUGCACACAGACACACAGACACAAGCAGACACACACAUACAGACACACCACAGUACAAAUUUUUAUCUGAAACUUGGGGUUAGUUGGUAGGGGCUUGCCUUCCCAGCCUGAAGACAGCACUCUCUUCAGCUCCCAGCACUGCAUAAGCUGGCUUUGAGAGCAAAGUCUGUAAUCCCAGAAUAACGGAAAUCAGAACAAUAGGUAAUUCAGGGCCAAGGGCAUCCUCUUGUCUCAUGCUGUCUCUAGAGGAAAAGAACACCCGCUUCCUAUUGAGGACACACUGAGCCCCCCCACGGAGUGACAUCUUGGAUCUAGUUCAACAUGGACAAAAAUCUCAAAUAAAACACUUAGGGCU
Molecule: long non-coding RNA, 849 nt
Filed under: Rattus norvegicus (Norway rat)
Lineage: Eukaryota; Metazoa; Chordata; Mammalia; Rodentia; Muridae
Description: long non-coding RNA NONRATT020991
Source: RNAcentral